GGUGGAGCGAUUUGUCUGGUUAAUUCCGAUAACGAACGAGACUCUGGCCUAUUAAAUAGACGGUAUAUCGAAAAGUAUAUCGCGCUUCUUAGAGGGACAAGCGGCGUCUAGCCGCAUGAAAUAGAGCAAUAACAGGUCUGUGAUGCCCUUAGAUGUCCGGGGCUGCACGCGCGCUACACUGAAAGAAUCAGCGUGCGCUUCCUGACUGGUUCGGAAGAAUCGGUUAACCCAAGUAAAUUCUUUCGUGCUUGGGAUAGGGAAUUGCAAUUAUUUCCCUUAAACGAGGAAUUCCCAGUAAAUGCGGGUCAUAAGCUCGCGUUGAU
Molecule: ribosomal RNA, 323 nt
Filed under: Nematoda environmental sample
Lineage: Eukaryota; Metazoa; Nematoda
Description: SSU rRNA
Rfam family: Eukaryotic small subunit ribosomal RNA
Source: RNAcentral